CACAUGCAAGUCGAGGGGCAGCGGGAAAAAGCUUGCUUUUUCGCCGGCGACCGGCGCACGGGUGCGGAACGCGUAUGGAACCUGCCCCUGUCAGGGGAAUAGCCCAGGGAAACUUGGAUUAAUGCCCCAUGGUAUCGUUAUAUCGCAUGAUAUUACGAUUAAAGAUUUAUCGGACAGGGAUGGCCAUGCGUACCAUUAGUUAGUUGGUGAGGUAACGGCUUACCAAGGCAGCGAUGGUUAGGGGCCCUGAGAGGGGGAUCCCCCACACUGGUACUGAGACACGGACCAGACUCCUACGGGAGGCAGCAGUGAGGAAUAUUGGACAAUGGGCGGGAGCCUGAUCCAGCCAUGCCGCGUGCAGGAUGACGGCCCUAUGGGUUGUAAACUGCUUUUAUACGGGAAGAAAUGCGCCCACGUGUGGGCGUCUGACGGUACCGUAAGAAUAAGGACCGGCUAACUCCGUGCCAGCAGCCGCGGUAAUACGGAGGGUCCGAGCGUUAUCCGGAAUCAUUGGGUUUAAAGGGUCCGUAGGCGGGCCUGUAAGUCAGGGGUGAAAGUUUGUGGCUCAACCAUAAAAUUGCCUUUGAUACUGCAGGUCUUGAGUCAUGGUGGGGUCGCCGGAACAUGUGGUGUAGCGGUGAAAUGCAUAGAUAUCACAUAGAACACCGAUCGCGAAGGCAGGUGGCCAACCAUGUACUGACGCUGAUGGACGAAAGCGUGGGUAGCGAACGGGAUUAGAUACCCCGGUAGUCCACGCCGUAAACGAUGGAUACUAGCUGUGGGGACUUCGGUCUCCGUGG
RNAcentral lists this ribosomal RNA (800 nucleotides) under Allomuricauda sp. Its description in RNAcentral is "bacterial SSU rRNA". It matches the Rfam family "Bacterial small subunit ribosomal RNA", at positions 52 to 846 of the family's 1533-position model. The record is from RNAcentral. Lineage: Bacteria; Pseudomonadati; Bacteroidota; Flavobacteriia; Flavobacteriales; Flavobacteriaceae.